AUUAGAGAGUCUAAACAACUCCCAAACCCACUGUGAACAUACCCUACGUUGCCUCGGCAGGCGCCCGGCUCCGCGACCCCUCGGGGCUGCGGGGUGGCCCUGCCGGCGGCCCACGAAACUCUUGUCUAGCACUGAAUUCUGAGCCCGAGAGGGAUAAAAAACAAAAUUAGUUAAAACUUUCAACAACGGAUCUCUUGGUUCUGGCAUCGAUGAAGAACGCAGCGAAAUGCGAUAAGUAAUGUGAAUUGCAGAAUUCAGUGAAUCAUCGAAUCUUUGAACGCACAUUGCGCCCGCCAGUAUUCUGGCGGGCAUGCCUGUCCGAGCGUCAUUUCAAACCCUCAAGCCUCGUUGCUUGGUGUUGGGAGCCUACGGCUGUAGCUCCUCAAAGUCAGUGGCGUGGGCUGGCUCGCACCCCAGAUGUAGUAGUUAUUUCUCUCACCUGUGGUCGGGCUAGUCCCCUGCCGUAAAACCCCCCAGACUUUUUAGUGUUUGACCUCGGAUCAGGUAGGGAUACCCGCUGAACUUAAGCAUAUCAAUAAGCGGAGGAAAAGAAACCAACAGGGAUUGCCCUAGUAACGGCGAGUGAAGCGGCAACAGCUCAAAUUUGAAAUCUGGCCCUCGGGUCCGAGUUG
Molecule: ribosomal RNA, 632 nt
Filed under: fungal endophyte
Lineage: Eukaryota; Fungi
Description: eukaryotic LSU rRNA
Rfam family: 5.8S ribosomal RNA (bases 175-328)
Source: RNAcentral